Molecule: long non-coding RNA, 3889 nt
Organism: Ahaetulla prasina
Lineage: Eukaryota; Metazoa; Chordata; Lepidosauria; Squamata; Colubridae
Exons: 3
Source: RefSeq, a predicted model, not a curated record
AUCAGUUUUUUUUCUACCUGCUAUUUAGGGUUAGUUAAUGCAGGGGUCCCCAACCCUCAGUCCAUGGACCGGCAAAGGGCUGUGGCAUGUCAGCAACUGGGCUGCACAAACAAGUGAAGCCCCAUCCAUGGGAUGCAGGUAGCAUGCAAAACCAUGCCCCCUCUGGUCUGCGGAAAAACCUUUAAAUAGAAAUUUAAAUUGUGUCUGCAUGUCUGAGUUACUGUGUUAAAAAGGACGGAGCUUCUCAAGAGACCCAUUAACUAGCCAAGGUUCCUAGUUUCCCAGUUUUCAAGUAACAAAUGGCACAAAUCUCUAACCAUUGCAGAACUUGUACAGGAAUUAUUCCACCCAUGUAAGCUUGUUCUAAUCUUUCAAUAAAUUUAAUCAACUUGUUUCAUCCACACUUGAUUAUUGUCUGAAAGUUGAGAGAUAAGUGCACAGUUGCCAUUUAUUUCUGGAAUAGAUAUUUGAUUUUGAACCCAAAUAUUGGUUGCUUUGAAUGAAGCAGAAUUUUCUGUAUACAGAAAGAAACUAAUGAAUCAAAACUUUAUCCAGCUCUGAGCACCAGAUAGCACCACUGACAGUUUCAUGUCCUUUCUGUUUUGAAUUUUAUUUUAUGAUAUUUAAUAUUUUUGCUUAUUUUUUAGGGAAACAAAGAUUCCUGCCUGGAGAUAAAGGGCACACUGCAGAAGGAAGUAUAUAUAUAAAUAAAUAUAUACACAACUUAUAUACAGCAUAUUGUUGUUUUAGUAAAAGUGAAGAGCUUUAUUUAUAUUUGGUUUUUUGGCGAAGGUAGGAUAGACUGAGACCUACUGAGAAGCAGUAUUUCUGAAAAGCUGGGGGAAAGCAAAGUAAGAAUUAAAUAAAAUGUUGACUGCUUCACUCAGUAGGAGUGAUGCUAAAUCUCAAGCAAUAAAUUUUCAGUAGCGCUAUCUACAUAUAUAUUUUAUAAUGGCAAGUGAAUGGGAUAUGAAUAGAACAAUGUUUUUGUUUUUAGGCAGCCUUCUUGUUUUAAGAUACUUCUUUCCAUCUGGAAUGUGAAAGGCCCUGUUUAUUUAACACCUAACAUCUGAAAAAGGCUAAAGGGAUUUAUGUGCACAGUGGCUCUGACAUAUCGAUUUUCCCCAGUAAGAGGAAAGAAGAGGAUAAACCUACUGUUGGAAUAACCUUUUCGUUUUCAGGCAGGUUCUUCCUUAUCGUAAGUUCUUACCAUAGUCACAUUUUAUCUCUCCCCCAUGCUAAAAAAAUCAAUUUCCUUUGUUGCCUGGAAAGAACUCCUAACAUUCUGUUUUAGAAAAUAUUUGUGGACUGGAGAUUUAUCUCUAUAAUAUUAUCAUACUUUCGCAAAUCCCUGAUAUGUCUGGUGGCAUAUUAAAGCUAGGGCGACAUGUUAGCAUUAAAGCAAUCCACAUUUGGGUAUCUGAAUUUUUAGAAAUAAAGUUGAUGAAAAAAAUGUUUUAUUAAAAAUGUUUUUAUUAUUUAUUAUUAUUGGAGCAACAGUUUUUGACAGCUCUUUGAGAAUUCUCUUCAAAUGUUAUUCAGUUUUCAUUCGUAUUUCAGACAGUGAGACAGCUCAAAGAAAGCUGUAGAGAAGCUCUAAUUCUAAUAGGCACUCAGGGAACAGCACUCCAAACAAUAUCCGAUAAUAAACAGAGUUUCUUAUCGGAUAUAGUUUGGAUAUUAUAUUGGAUAUAGUUUGGAGUGGUCCUUGCCCAUGGAAAUAUAUCUAAUGCAAUUUUAGAAAUCUCCCUCUCUGUCCAGUUAUAUGGACUUGAAUUCCUGUAAUUCUUAGCAUUGGUUAUACUUGCUGGGAAUCUUGGCAAGCAAGCUGGGGAGGCUGCCUUAUACAGACAGCAUUGUCUCAUUAACUUGCAGAAAUAGAUUUGACUGGCAAAAAUGACAAUUUAGGUAUACUUUUUGUCGAUCAUUUUAGUCAGCCACUUGACUAGGAUUGCCACUCCAUUGUUGUACACAACCCUACUUGGAAAUGCAGCUUACAAUAAAUAUAUAGAGUUGUGCAAUGCUUAGGAUCUGAAAGAUGUUUGCAUGUCACACUUGUCUGCAACCUGUUAAAUUGCUCCAUUUCCCAGGCACAGCUUUGGGUAAUAACAGUUUUGCUUCUGCAUAAUCCUGGGAAAAGACAAUUUGAUUUUAGAAGUUGAAGAUGCAUGUUACUUUCAUGCCCCCAUAUACUUCAAAGCAUAUUUUUGCCUUGUAUCUGAAACUCUUAUUUAAACCAGGAGUAUAAGUUGCAUAAUUCUCAUUCUAAGUAACUAACAGUAAGAGUUGCCAUAAUAACUGAAACAACCCAACCCAAGAGAUUUCCCAAAAUGAACAGAUGAGAAGGAAGGUCAGAUAGGACCAGUAGUGGGUUGCCCCUGGUUCGGACCGGUUCACAAGAACUGGUAGUAAAACCAGUGGGAGACUCCGCCCACCAACCCGGUCAUCAGGAAGUUUCUGCGCACGCCUGCUCCCAUUGCGAACCAGUAGUAAAGGUAAGUAGAACCAACUCCUGGAUAGGACUAACCUCAUAAUUUUUUAUGUUUCUGUUGGAUGCAAUAAAAAUAUCCAAUGCAUGUUAAAGUGCAAUUACUACCUCAGAACAUUUUUUUGUGUGGUUAAUUCAUAAAAACAAAGCAAACCUUUUCCCUCUGUUUAGCUCAUAUUCUCAGGAACGAUGGGAGCUGUUCUUUAAAGAAAUGUCUCCGUGUCAUCUUUGAAGGUGCUCCUCCAGAACGACCUCCAAAUGAAGUUUUACAUUCUUGGACUCCCUCCCUGAAAUUUCUUCAAGCCACUCCCAGUGUUGAAGUCCCUGAAGGAGAAAACAUGGAUACUUCUUCUAUGAGAAUACAGGAAACAUAGGAAUUUGGAGGCCACUAAAACUGGUAAAGGCGGCUAAGCACGAAGCUGUAAACACCUAGCCUGAAGAUGACGAAUGGGAUUUCGUCGAAACGUCGCCAAGACACUUCCAAUUUUACGUGGGAGAAAACCCGAAUAACCAAAGACCUACAUAUAUAUAUAUAUAUACUAUAUAUAUACACACUAUAUAUAUAUAUUUAACACCACAGACAAUACUUCUAUCAUUCAAAAUGACCUUGAUCAUCUAACCGCUUGGUCAAAAAAUUGGCAGUUCCAAAUUUCAACCAGCAAAUGCUCAGUCUUACAUAUAGGAAAAAAGAACCCAAACACUAAGUACAUACUAGAUGGACAUUACCUUACAGACGACCCCCAUCCCGUUAAAGACCUUGGAGUUUUCAUGUCAAAUGAUCUAAGUGCCAAAGCCCACCGCAACUACAUAGCAAAAAAAGCUCUAAGAGUUGUAAACCUAAUCUUGUGUAGCUUCUUUUCCAAAAACACCACACUACUAACCAGAGCAUAUAAAACAUUUGCUAGACCAAUUCUAGAAUACAGCUCGCCUGUUUGGAACCCUCACCACAUCUCUGACAUCAAUACAAUUGAACGUGUCCAGAAAUAUUUUACAAGAAGAGUUCUCCAUUCCUCUGAAAACAAUAAAAUACCUUAUCCCACCAGACUUGAAAUCCUAGGCUUAGAAAACUUGGAACUCCGUCACCUUCGACAAGACCUAAGUUUAACUCACAGAAUCAUCUAUUGUAAUGUCCUUCCUGUUAAAGACUACUUCAGCUUUAAUUGCAAUAAUACUAGAGCAACUAAUAGAUUUAAACUUAAUGUCAACCGCUUUAAUCUAGAUUGCAGAAAAUAUGACUUCUGUAACAGAAUCAUCAGUGCUUGGAAUACUUUACCUGACUCUGUAGUCUCUUCUCAUAAUGCUAAAAACUUUAACCAAAAACUUUCUACUAUUGACCUCACCCCAUUCCUAAGAGGCAUAAGGGGCGUGCAUAAGCGCACAAAGGUGCCUACCGUUCCUGUC